GGAUGAACGCUGGCGGCGUUCCUAAUACAUGCAAGUCGAGCGAGCAGACGAGGAGCUUGCUCCUCUGACGUUCGCGGCGGACGGGUGAGUAACACGUGGAUAACCUACCUAUAAGACUGGGAUAACUUCGGGAAACCGGAGCUAAUACCGGAUAAUAUAUUGAACCGCAUGGUUCAAUAGUGAAAGACGGUUUUGCUGUCACUUAUAGAUGGAUCCGCGCCGCAUUAGCUAGUUGGUAAGGUAACGGCUUACCAAGGCAACGAUGCGUAGCCGACCUGAGAGGGUGAUCGGCCACACUGGAACUGAGACACGGUCCAGACUCCUACGGGAGGCAGCAGUAGGGAAUCUUCCGCAAUGGGCGAAAGCUUGACGGAGCAACGCCGCGUGAGUGAUGAAGGUCUUCGGAUCGUAAAACUCUGUUAUUAGGGAAGAACAAAUGUGUAAGUAACUAUGCACGUCUUGACGGUACCUAAUCAGAAAGCCACGGCUAACUACGUG
RNAcentral lists this ribosomal RNA (498 nucleotides) under uncultured bacterium. RNAcentral describes it as "partial 16S ribosomal RNA". It matches the Rfam family "Bacterial small subunit ribosomal RNA", at positions 27 to 507 of the family's 1533-position model. The record is from RNAcentral.